This 746-nucleotide long non-coding RNA is filed under the name Brassica napus (rape). Its description in RNAcentral is "long non-coding RNA (BNAP_LNC026719)". The record is from RNAcentral. Lineage: Eukaryota; Viridiplantae; Streptophyta; Magnoliopsida; Brassicales; Brassicaceae.
AUUAUUUAGAACCUUGAAGAUCACGAAAUAUUCUCCCUUCCUUUAGGAAUCUUUAAGCUACAACAACUAUAACCAUAAACACUAUAUAUAUACUACUACUUGUGUUCAUUUCUCUAAUCACAACAACACCUCACACGUUCACAUAAAAACAUUCUAAUGGCUCCUCUCCCUGUCUCUUUGCUCAAAGAUGUAAAACCAUAAGAAACUACUUGGAAAGUUCAUGUGAAAUCUAUUCAUUUAUGGAAACAAUCCUCUAAUCAGGCUGCUGAUUCACUUCAGAUGAUUCUUGCAGACGAGACAAGUAGUUGUUGUCUUAUAUAUACUAUGUUUUUGUAUACUUGGCUAACUUUAACAAAGCUUCAUUAUAUUAAUUUACAGGGAACCGAAAUUCAUGCAACUUGCAUGAGUAUUUUUGCACCUAGAGUACGAUCCCAACCUACACACGGUAUAUGGAGAUCGAUUCAGAUUUUCCCAGUGUCUUCUGCCUCCGGGAAAUAUCAAGUGCACAACAUUUUAUUUAUCAAGUAAGACUCAUAAAAAAAUAGAUACUUAUCUUUUGUCUACUGGCCAACCUGGUCCGCUGGACCACAACCAUAAUAUUAGUAAUCCUUCUUUUAUCUGUCCAAACAAAAAGAAAAUGAUUUAGUUUGCAUCAACUUUACUAUUUACUAUUGUAUAAUCCGCGUGAAUUUUUUAUAAUAAUAUUUGUUCAUUAAAUGGUUUUAACAUUUUACAACACUCACUAC